This 305-nucleotide ribosomal RNA is filed under the name uncultured bacterium. Its description in RNAcentral is "bacterial SSU rRNA". It matches the Rfam family "Bacterial small subunit ribosomal RNA", at positions 337 to 640 of the family's 1533-position model. The record is from RNAcentral.
ACCUACGGGGGGCAGCAGUGAGGAAUAUUGGUCGAUGGUCGGGAGACUGAACCAGCCAAGCCGCGUGAGGGAUGAAGGUACAGAGUAUCGUAAACCUCUUUUGUCAGGGAACAAAGGCGGGGACGUGUCCCCGGAUGAGUGUACCUGAAGAAAAAGCAUCGGCUAACUCCGUGCCAGCAGCCGCGGUAAUACGGAGGAUGCGAGCGUUAUCCGGAUUUAUUGGGUUUAAAGGGUGCGCAGGCGGUCUGUUAAGUCAGCGGUCAAAGCCCGGGGCUCAACCCCGGCCCGCCGUUGAAACUGGCAGU